Lolium perenne is the source of this 3923-nucleotide non-coding RNA. NCBI's taxonomy places the organism in Eukaryota, Viridiplantae, Streptophyta, Magnoliopsida, Poales, Poaceae. The record is from RefSeq and is a predicted model, not a curated record.
UUCCUUUCCGUCGUCGCGCUUCCUCGUCGUCGUCCACAUGGGCCAGGCCCAAUGAAACCUGCGGUCCACACUCCCUCCCGCACCCGGCCACCCUCCUCUCUCUCCUCCUACUCACAUCUCUCCUCCGCAUACGGCGCCCGUCACACCGCCGUCACGUCCUCCUCCUCGAUCGCCGCCUCCACCACGCGGAUCCGGCCUCAAUCGCAUCCCCCUCGACUGUCUCUUCCAGCGCACGUCUAGGAGGCAUGGAGCCCGGAUGGCCUCCCUAGACUGCCAUCUAGAUCAGCACCACAGAUGCGUGGCUCGAGGCAUGGGGGCCUAAAUCCGGGCAUAGGUGUCCGAGAUUUGGGCAUGGUCGUCCGGAUCCGAUCUCCUCGCUUGAUCUUCCUUUUUUCCUGAUUCUAAGAUCCAGUUGAAGUUGCUUGCUGAAGAAAUGCAGGCAAUAAACAAAUUUACGUUUCUUAACUGAAACCUCGUGGUUCCCUUAGCUAUCAGAUCUGGAGUUGAUCAGAUGGAUCUUUCUCAAACAAAUUUAUGUCUGUAGCUUUCAGGUUGGUAGCUGUCUUCAGAAAUUUAUAUUUUUAAGACGUUUCCAUGAUUUGAGGCUAUACCACACAGCCUUUAUAUAGAUUUAUUUUUACAAAGUAUGGACCUUUUAAGUGAGAACAAAAAUAUGUUGUUUUCCAGAUUAUAUGGAGCCUGAUCGGUAGUCAACACAUGUAUUUCAUUGUUUAUUAUCAGAUAUCUCUUUCUACAUUCGCCUGCUCCCCUUUGCUUUGAUAGCAGAACAAUUGCAAGCCCAAUAGGUGCUAAUACAUUGUUCGAUAUUCAGGUUAUCAAUUGCUUCAGUGGUCUCUACGUAUUUCAAUAGUUGGAGGCUUGGGCCACAGUUUUACGAUCCUUUUACAACCAUUUCUUCUGAUUUUGGUUGUUAAACAAAUGUAAUAUUUUUGUAUGACAUCCAUGGCCAAAUUUCUCUUCUUUUUUUUCACACGCGCAACAAUUGGGAAUAAAACAGACCAUGAACAUGAGUUUGAAAUGUAAAAAAAAGGUCUGAAAGACUUAUUCUUUUUUUUAAGGAGGAUAAGAAAAUGUAAAGAUUAUUUUUUUAUGUUAUUAUGUGUUAUUUACUACCUUUGGCUUUGGGAAAACUUUUCUACUUUGGAAGUUCUUGACAAGUCCCAAGUGGAGGAGAUUAAGAAUCUAUGAUGCUGCUAUCAAGGGCCGCUGCACUGUUUGCACUGAGUCUCUGCUUCAAAAAAAUUCUUUUUUUAUAUUUUUUUUUCUUUUUCCAGGUUGAAUUUGGUAUAUUGGAGUUCAAUCAGUCCAUUUUCCCAUAUGUGCCAAAACCACAUUAAUUUGUAGUAAGAAGUAUGAUCUUAUGUGGGCUACCUAGCUUCACAAUUUGCUUCUAAAAAUAUACUGUACCAUUCACCAUAUCAUGAUCCCCAGUGUUCCAGACCAAAAGGCACAAAAAGCUUUAAGAAUAGCAAAUCUCUCGCCCAGGUCUCUCCUUUGUUUAGAGUUUGUGUGUUUGGGUUAUUUAGCUGUUGCUUUUGGUUGUUAUAAUAAGGGUUUAUUCCUUUUGAUGUAGGUUGCUGGACUAUGCUGCUGUUGCCAUGAGUGAUCGGCGUGCAAAUGGUCAUCGCAGUGUCACUCCUUCUGCUCCAUGAUAUUUGCCUUCGCUUUGGCGGCGCAAUCGAGGGCUUGGUGAAUUCGUGUUACGGUGAUUCCACACCAGCUGUUGUUGAUCCCUUUUUCGUGUCAUCUGUUGAUCAUGUUGGGGUGUCUUCUGCUGUUAAUUCUUCUACGGAUAUUGAUGCUCGAAGAUCUUCGCAAACACGAUAUAUACAUGUGAGUUUUGUUUUAUCCUCAACAGACUAGCAACAUCGCUGUUUGGCAACAUGCCACUACUUGCUAAUUUGAAAUAUGGCUUCAGAAUUUAGACAAUUAGAAGCAAAAGGUAUGUUACAGUACCGGAUAUCAUGCUCAUUCUCUACUGCAUUCUGUUAUCAUGUGCUGGUGUUUUUCAUAGCAAUAAGGUUUGAGAUUAUUAUCUCUGGAGUACAACUAUAGUUUAGAUCGCGUUACUGCUAUGAUAUGUAUGAUUUAUGUUACAUGCUAAUUCUCUGUAGUGGCAUAUUCAAUAGUUUCUUUUCUCUGCUUUGUGUUGGUCUAUGUAGAAGCCUAUCACUUAUCUUAUCUAUCUACGUAAAACUUCUUAUCGUUGUAACAAGCUCACUUAAUAACAUGCCAUGGUCUAUCUGUAUUUUUUUUUUGCUUUGCCUUUUCAAAUUCUAGCUUAUUCAUAUGAGCACACAAAACAAAACUCAGUAACAUCACAAUUACAUUUUUCAACUCAACAAGAAGAAUUCAGAGCUGAUUGAUACAAUCAGCUAUAACAUGCAAAGGAAAUUUCGCAUUUAGGAACUCAGGAAAGAGAAGCAUACUAGCUGGUAGCAGAUCAGCUCGAUUCCCCAUCUCCAGCUCCCCUUCUUCGGGAACUCACUACUUGGCAGCAAACCAUUUCACCGGAGAUGACCAGCUUCUCCUACUGUUGUAUACUCCUCCACCACCAUCGCUACCACUGCCACUCCCACUUCUGCCGCUGCCUUUGCCUUGCGGAUGGCGCCAUGGAGUACCUCCUCCUGUCAACCUUGAACUAUACCGCCGCUCGCUUUCCGGGAUCGCUCCUCCGCCGUCCCGUCCCUAAUCAGCUCGUCGAGUCUCGCCAAGAAAAAGAUCGAUUACGGCAGUACAGACGGGACUAUGGCUAGCUCCCGUAGCCAGUCCCCCGAGACCACAUCCGGCUCGAGUUGGCCGACGUCAAAGUGACAGAAAGUGGCGGAGAACAAGGCGGCGACAUGAUUCCAGGCCGGUGCCAGCGGACGACAGUAAUCUGAUCCUCCCAAUCCGGUGCAGGUAGUUAUAUAGUCCUCCUGAGUUGGUGCCAAUCAAAGCGGCGAGAGGAGAAGAGACCGCCACGUCACACUUCAGGGCAGGGCAAAAAAAAUCAUUUUCCUGCGCUUGCUACUCGAGUUUCACUGUGCGCGAGAGCACAUGAAUUACCUGUGGCCACAUGUCACCCGCUUGACGUUGCCACCAUCGCCGAGCUCGGCUCUGGCAUGAGUGGGGCGACGCAUCGACAACCAUACACGUGGAACUUGCAAUAGGUCUCGAUGCCGCCCCUAUCGCCGCAGGCCCGGAACCGUGAAGGCACUGUUCAAGUAGAUCUCGCCGCAGAGCCGGCCGCUGGACCUGAUUUUUUGGGUCUAUUUUUUCAACUGUGGAAGAACUGCGCACGACCGCUGAAGUAGCUACCUCAAAUUCAAUUAUGGCAUCCGCUGUAGCAGCUACCUGUAAUUCAACUAUUGAAUUUGUUCUGCUAAUGAAUAUUGUGUUGUUCAUAGUUCUCCUCCAGCAGGUAGUGAAAGGUGAAGUUGGCCAGCCACCGUGGGAGCCUCCCGGUUAGCCUGUUGGAGUAGAGGUUGAGGAUGGAAAACCAGUCGCCCACAUUGUCUGAUGUGUCGGCGGGAUCUCUCCAGAGUGGUCAUUGUUGCCGAGGUGCUGUAGCGGGAUGCAGCGUGGAGAUUUUGGCGGAGACUUCUGUUUGCAGCGUGCGACGGAAAAAGAAAAGAAGAGGAAUAGACACAUCGAGCCUUGCCUGUGGGCAUCCUCUACCUAGAUGAAGCUGGUGUAAAUUGAACAGAUUGCUUAUGCGAUGCCUGAUAUGGAAAAGAUAUGUGGUGGAGAAAAAGAAGAGUGCUUGUACUUCUUCUUGAUCUUUUUUCCCUUCCGGUGAAAUAACCAUGACAUGCUUCUACGUGAUUUUCACUGAAAUAUUUGAAACGCAGUGCUCAGCAAUGCAUCUCUGGUUGUUUGAUAUUAGAAUUCAGGUGUUUGACAAAUUAUUUCUUUCCGCA